This is a long non-coding RNA of Cherax quadricarinatus, 1434 nucleotides long. RefSeq lists it as uncharacterized. The record is from RefSeq and is a predicted model, not a curated record. NCBI's taxonomy places the organism in Eukaryota, Metazoa, Arthropoda, Malacostraca, Decapoda, Parastacidae.
ACCAGUAUGGAACCCCCACCUGACAAAGCAUGUUAAAAAAAUGAAGAAAGUAAAGAAGUAUGAAGCAAUAUUAGUUCCAGAGCUAAAGAAUAUGAACUAUGAGAAGCAGCUAAAGGAAUUGAAUGUAAUGGCCCUGGAGGACAGAAGGACCAGGGAAAGAAUAUGGUAACAACAUACAAAAUACUCAGAAAUUGAUAGGGCAGACAGGAACAGGUUGUUUGAGAGGUAACAAAGAGGUACUCAGUGGCACAUCUGGAAGCUAAAACACAUGACUCAUAGGGAUGUUAAGAUGUAUUUUUCCAGUCUCAGGAUGGCUGGGAAGUGGAAUGACCUUGAUGAAGUGGUGGAGGCAGACUUCAUAUAUAGUUUUAAGAAUAAGUACAGUAGGGCCCACGAAGCUGAGAGUGAAUCUGGCAAACGGCAAGUUCAGAAGUGGAGCCAGGUGCUAAGACUCGACCCCUGCAAUCACAUGUGAAAAGGUGAGUACUCAAAAAUAUUAAGACCUUUAGACUCCUUGACCCCAUGUCCUAUGCCUAGAUGCUGGUGAAGAACUCUUGGUCCAAAGAACUGGAGCUACUCUCCCUUUUCUUGGACCAAACUGAAAGACUUCCCAUUUCCAAGGUGCUUUGACCUCUACCCCUCAAGGGAGGUUACUUGAUGCUGGUGAGGAGGUCUCUUGAUCUAAGGAAUUGGACCUGCCCUUCCCUUCCUUGAAUCAAACCAGAGUGCCUCCCAAUUCACUAAGCACUGUAUGACCCUGUGGGUUUUAGCACUCCCCAUAAAUGUUUUAAUAUUAUAAUCCCUAUGGGUUUAGCACUUCCUUAUGAAUAUAAUGAUAAUAAUAAUCCUCUUGUUAGAACCAUUACUAUUUUCCAACUAGUAGGUACUGACCUAUUAAAUGUCACAGUCCUAUUAGAUGUCGCAGAUAUCGCAGAAUGUUACAUCGACGACGGAAUUCACCCUGUCUGCAGACUGAGUAGCAACAUACAUGUGGUUGAAGGGAGGCAAGCAGCACCAGAUGACCCACUGAUGUAUUGGAAACUUAAGAAUGUGGAUUUAAGAAAUUUUGCUUCCAGAAAGCUUGGCAUAAAAACCAGGAGUUUUGAAAUCUGAAUUUGUGGUGUAAAAAAUAUUACUGCAACAAAGAGGGAAAUUUUCAAAAGGAAACUGAAACACUUCACUACAUGUGCAUGAUCAGCCAGUUACCAGCGGCAACCUGGUUGUUUACCAUAGUCAACAAGGAAUUUUGGCCUUAGACCAAGCCACAGUUGUAGAAGAACCUUUGGAACCAAUCGCUUGCUACAACUGAGACUGAUGUGGAUGCACCCAGCAGAGCUACUGAAAUGCUUCACAAAUAACCUGCACUUGGGAGAAGAAGCUUGUGACGUUUGAUCUUUGAUCACUGUCAAGUCACAACCAGGAGAGAAAAAACAA